AUUGAACGCUGGCGGCAGGCCUAACACAUGCAAGUCGAACGAGUGGCGGACGGGUGAGUAAUGUCUGGGCAACUGCCUGAUGGACGGGGAUAACUACUGGAAACGGUAGCUAAUACCGCAUACCAUCAGAUGUGCCCAGAUGGGAUUAGCUUGUUGGUGGGGUAACGGCUCACCAAGGCGACGAUCCCUAGCUGGUCUGAGAGGAUGACCAGCCACACUGGAACUGAGACACGGGCCAGACUCCUACGGGAGGCAGCAGUGGGGAAUAUUGGACAAUGGGCGAAAGCCUGAUGCAGCCAUGCCGCGUGUAUGAAGAAGGGCGUCGGGUUGUAAAGUACUGUCAGCAGGGAGGCGUUACCCAAAGAAGAAGCAACGGCUAACUACGUGCCAGCAGCCGCGGUAAUUC
RNAcentral lists this ribosomal RNA (406 nucleotides) under uncultured bacterium. RNAcentral describes it as "partial 16S ribosomal RNA". It matches the Rfam family "Bacterial small subunit ribosomal RNA", at positions 30 to 526 of the family's 1533-position model. The record is from RNAcentral.